Oryctolagus cuniculus (rabbit) is the source of this 832-nucleotide non-coding RNA. The record is from RefSeq and is a predicted model, not a curated record. NCBI's taxonomy places the organism in Eukaryota, Metazoa, Chordata, Mammalia, Lagomorpha, Leporidae.
UCCAAAACCACUUUCACGGUGAUUUUUAGUUAAAUUUCACCCGAAAUCCACAGCAAUUUGUCCAGAUACUCCUGGAUGAAAACAAAACUAUCUGGUGAUUUGUAGCUAUCUCAAUCCCAGAUCUUGCUACAGCCUCUGUGUGUGUUUGUGUUUUCUGGAUAUUCUCUAUGGACUUUAAGGUUUGGAAUGCAUUUUAGCAGGACCCUUUUUGUUUUCUGCUGGCAAACGCUAAUUGGUUCCACCUGGAGUCAAAUACUCCACACAUUCGAGUUUUCUAGGAAGGAAGCUUCAGAAACCUGAGAAAACAUGAUAUUUCUUUCUGUAAACAUGACAUUGGAUACAUUUGCAGAACAGGAAGAUUGUGCUUUUCUCCAAAACCACUUUCACGGUGAUUUUUAGUUAAAUUUCACCCGAAAUCCACAGCAAUUUGUCCAGAUACUCCUGGAUGAAAACAAAACUAUCUGGUGAUUUGUAGCUAUCUCAAUCCCAGAUCUUGCUACAGCCUCUGUGUGUGUUUGUGUUUUCUGGAUAUUCUCUAUGGACUUUAAGGUUUGGAAUGCAUUUUAGCAGGACCCUUUUUGUUUUCUGCUGGCAAACGCUAAUUGGUUCCACCUGGAGUCAAAUACUCCACACAUUCGAGUUUUCUAGGAAGGAAGCUUCAGAAACCUGAGAAAACAUGAUAUUUCUUUCUGUAAACAUGACAUUGGAUACAUUUGCAGAACAGGAAGAUUGUGCUUUUCUCCAAAACCACUUUCACGGUGAUUUUUAGUUAAAUUUCACCCGAAAUCCACAACAAUUUGUCCAGAUACUACUGGAUGAAAACAAAACUAUC